CUGAAUCGAUAGGAGAGCAGAAAAUGCCUAAUGCCUGUCACCGACGAACAGUGCUGUGGGCCGCGAUUGAAUCUGAAGGAAAUCAGAUGUGCGGGAGUGAUCGAAACGUGCUAAGCUAGAGGAUCUUGCAAGAGUUUAAACGCCAUCGCGGUGGGGAUGAGAUCGAUAGGGAGAGGAAGGAAGGAAAUGGAUGCUCUGUGUCCGAGGGCGCUCCGGCAGACCUCCCUCCCCGCCCGCCCAUCUCCGACGGCACCUUCCGCGGCCCCGCUCCGCGCUCCCCCGCCACCGGUGCGACGGGCCCGCGGGAGCAGGGCCAACCGCCGCGCUUUUCCGCCGAGGAGACCCUGACCCCUUGCUCCGCGCCGCUCCGCGCCGCACCGCGGGGUGCGCGCAGCCUGCCUUUCCUACGGCGGAUGGACAAAUCGCCCAGAUUUUUUUUUUUUUUUUUUUUUUUUCCCGGGAGGGUGGGCGCUUGUACUUGUUAAUUUUUUUCUUUUCCUUGCCAGAUUUCUCUGGGUUGAUAUGUGGCAUGUUGUUUUCAUUCCUUGACUUUUUUUUUUUUUUUUUAAAUAACUCUGUGGAUUUAAAUUUUUCGAACAACCUGUGAUCCAUAUGUCUGUCCGAUUAAUUUUUUUUAUGGGAUGAUGAA
Molecule: long non-coding RNA, 649 nt
Organism: Tyto alba (common barn owl)
Lineage: Eukaryota; Metazoa; Chordata; Aves; Strigiformes; Tytonidae
Exons: 3
Source: RefSeq, a predicted model, not a curated record